UACGUAGGGUGCAAGCGUUAAUCGGAAUUACUGGGCGUAAAGCGUGCGCAGGCGGUUUUGUAAGACAGAUGUGAAAUGCCCGGGCUUAACCUGGGAACUGCAUUUGUGACUGCAAGGCUAGAGUUUGGCAGAGGGGGGUAGAAUUCCGACGUGUAGCAGUGAAAUGCGUAGAUAUGUGGAGGAAUACCGAUGGCGAAGGCGGCUACCUGGACCGGUUCUGACGCUGAGGCGCGAAAGCGUGGGUAGCAAACAGG
RNAcentral lists this ribosomal RNA (254 nucleotides) under uncultured bacterium. Its description in RNAcentral is "partial 16S ribosomal RNA". It matches the Rfam family "Bacterial small subunit ribosomal RNA", at positions 524 to 776 of the family's 1533-position model. The record is from RNAcentral.